CACGUAGGGUGCGAGCGUUGUCCGGAAUUAUUGGGCGUAAAGAGCUCGUAGGCGGUUUGUCGCGUCUGCUGUGAAAGACCGGGGCUCAACUCCGGUUCUGCAGUGGGUACGGGCAGACUAGAGUGAUGUAGGGGAGACUGGAAUUCCUGGUGUAGCGGUGAAAUGCGCAGAUAUCAGGAGGAACACCGAUGGCGAAGGCAGGUCUCUGGGCAUUAACUGACGCUGAGGAGCGAAAGCAUGGGGAGCGAACAGG
RNAcentral lists this ribosomal RNA (253 nucleotides) under uncultured bacterium. RNAcentral's name for it is "partial 16S ribosomal RNA". It matches the Rfam family "Bacterial small subunit ribosomal RNA", at positions 524 to 776 of the family's 1533-position model. The record is from RNAcentral.